RNAcentral lists this ribosomal RNA (253 nucleotides) under uncultured bacterium. RNAcentral describes it as "partial 16S ribosomal RNA". It matches the Rfam family "Bacterial small subunit ribosomal RNA", at positions 524 to 776 of the family's 1533-position model. The record is from RNAcentral.
GACGAGGGAUCCUAGCGUUGUUCGGAAUCAUUGGGCGUAAAGCGGGUGCAUGUGGCUCUGUAAGUCAGGUGUGAAAGCCCAGGGCUCAACCCUGGAGGUGCAUUUGAUACUGCGGAGCUUGAGUGCUAGAGAGGUAAGUAGAAUUCCAGGUGUAGUGGUGAAAUACGUAGAUAGCUGGAGGAAUACCGGAGGCGAAGGCGGCUUACUGGCUAGACACUGACACUCAGACCCGAAAGCGUGGGGAUCAAACAGG